CAGGGAGACAAACAAUCGAUCUUGAUGUUUGAAUUUUUAUUUUUAGACCAAGAUCCUGUCACCUUAGGUCGAUCGGUACCUCUUGAUUGAUUGCACUCAGGUGCACUCAAUUUUCAGUUCCUAAACUUGUCUAGGUCACACCCAACAAGUGUUCUCCUGGGCCAUUAGCUCAGGUGGUUAGAGCGCACCCCUGAUAAGGGUGAGGUCCCUGGUUCAAGUCCAGGAUGGCCCAUUCGGUGUUGGGGGUAUAGCUCGGUUGGUAGAGCGCCUGCCUUGCAAGCAGGAUGUCAGCGGUUCGAGUCCGCUUACCUCCACUGAUCAACUACCUAAUAACCAAUGGAAAGGAGAUUGUCUUUGUUUGAUGUGAUUUAGAUUUGUCUAUCUGAAUAGAGAACCUAGCUUCCUAUCAUUUAACUCUAAAUGUAAUUUAGACAUCAUGAUAAGACGCUGGGCUCACUGAAAUUUUUAUGAUUUCAGAGAACUUCAGUAGAACCUUGACAACUACAUAGGUGAGUCUGGAAAGAAUAAAGCAUCUCAUGGAUGCAUUAUUCUUAAUUCAGAUUUUGUAAAAUGUGAAAAACAUUUUUCAGAAUUAGUUUUUAGAAUAAUGCGCAAUUCUUGAGUAAAGAGCGAAAACAUCCAUAAACCAAAUAGUGUUUUAUCACUUGGUUUGUGGAUAUAAAA
RNAcentral lists this transfer RNA (684 nucleotides) under uncultured cyanobacterium. RNAcentral describes it as "partial 16S-23S ribosomal RNA intergenic spacer". The stretch from base 242 to 314 matches the Rfam family "tRNA". The record is from RNAcentral. Lineage: Bacteria; Bacillati; Cyanobacteriota.